This 171-nucleotide ribosomal RNA is filed under the name Triticum aestivum (bread wheat). RNAcentral's name for it is "partial small subunit ribosomal RNA". Lineage: Eukaryota; Viridiplantae; Streptophyta; Magnoliopsida; Poales; Poaceae. The record is from RNAcentral.
AUGGUACUGUAUAGAAGGGGCCAUAAACUGGAGAGUCUUGACCAAUUCAAAAGAUCAUUUGGUGUAGUUGAAAUAACAGAAUUGGAACUUGUUUGGUCAAGUCGCCUAUUCCAUUUCAUGUUCCAUUUUAGGUCCAUGAAUUUUGGAAGAGGUCCCUCCAUGCCUCUUUAG